This 310-nucleotide long non-coding RNA is filed under the name Lathyrus oleraceus (garden pea). RNAcentral's name for it is "Pisum sativum (pea) long non-coding RNA (PSAT_LNC036839)". The record is from RNAcentral. Lineage: Eukaryota; Viridiplantae; Streptophyta; Magnoliopsida; Fabales; Fabaceae.
UAUUACUCAUAUGGAUUUUUAGUCUCUUCUGAUUUCUUUUCCCCUUUGUGGACACAUAUCUCCACAGAGUAUUACUCUUUGCAUACAUGCAUUUUUGCAUCAUGAGGUCUCUUAGGGACCAAAAUUCGUCUCUUUGUUAUUAUUUAAGCCCAUUCUACCACGUCGAGACGAAGAUUUUAACCUUCAUAUCUCUGGCUAGAAUGACCUUAAAUAGGGGCAUAAUUAUUUAAGCCCAUUCUACCACGUCGAGACGAAGAUUUUAACCUUCAUAUCUCUGGCUAGAAUGACCUUAAAUAGGGGCAUCUGUAAG